CAUGAAUUUCAAUUUUGGGUUCAUACCCAUUUAUUACUAGUUGAAUAUUAUGAUUUUUAAGUGUUCUUGAUGUUGAAAUACAUGUCUAUUUUCGUAAAUUAAUGCUUAUGACUAUAAUUUUCAGAUUUUGAGUUGAAUUGUGAGUAUUUAUAUUAUCAAGCAUGAACAUUACAAUGUUUUGAGGUGAAUUGAAAGCAUGAGUUAUUAAGCCCUAAUUGAUUAUGGUUAUUUCAAGUAUGAUUAUGCUUUUGAGUAUCCCAUGACAUGAUUUUAGACAGCUUUGCACAAAGAUUUGAUCUUUUGAUCUUUAGCUAAGACAUGGAAUCCACUUUACAGCUUAAACUCAGUUUUGAAUGAACAGAUACAUAGUUAGCUUUCAGUAUGAAAUAUUAUGACUUUUAAAAGUGGAUUUUUCCUACAGUAUGAGCAUAUAAUUAAGGGAGUAGUAUUUAGCACCGAGCGAAAAGUGUGAGAUUAGCGUGUCCUAUCUUCCACAAAACUACAUGCCACUGUAGGAUUAAGAUUAUUUCCACUUCUACGUGGAUGACUCAGAUGUGAUCACUUAGCUCAGGUUAUACUCCCUGGCAAGAGUAUGACACCUCUCCCCAACGUGAGGUUUCUUCCUUAGAAGGACGAGACAUUGGACUCCAUGAUAGCUCGCUCGCAUGAUUUAUGUCGGUUAAGAGAACCUCCCUUACAGAUAAGCUUUUGAAAAAGAAUUUUUCUUGCAGAACAGUCUUUAAGUAUUUUCCCUGUAUGAUGUUUUGCCAUACAUGUAUAUGAGUUCGAUAUAUUGAUAUUCAAUUAUAUAAAUAGUAUUUGAUUUGGUAUUUUGAUCCUUUGAAUGAGUAUUGGAAUCCACUUUGCACCUUUAAUUAUGAUAAAUGCAUAACUAAUUUCAUAGUAAACCCUUAUGUGAGUUUUAAUAUGGAUUUUCAUGAGAUGAGCAUAGACAAUUAAAGAGAGUAGUAUUUAACACCGAGUUUGGUAUGAUUCCAAGGGCUUAUACCCCAAAACUACGUUCCACCAUAGGAUUGAGAAUUUAAGUGCCACGUUAAACUCUUUGGCAAGAGUAUUACACCUUUGCCUAAUGUGAGGUUUCUUCCUUAGGAGGAUGAGAUAUUGGACUCCAUGUAGCUCGCUUGGUUUAUGUCGGUUAAGAGAAACUCCUUUGUAGAAUGGUCUUUAAAGUAUUUUACCUACAGCUUAAUAGUAAAGAUUUUCAGAUUAGUUUCUAAAAGUAUUUUCCCUAAUAGUAAAGGCUUUCAGAAAAGAUUAAUACAAACAACUUUUAGAAAACUAAGGAUAAAGGCUCACGAAUUUAUUUAGAUUAUGUCUUACAGAAAGAUAUCAGCUUUCACAUUUCAGAUUUAAAGAGUGAGUCCUUUCUACACUUAGACAGUAUGAUUUAAAGAAAGAAUUCAAGUACAUCUUUUAGAAUUGGAUGUUAUGGCUCACAAGAUUUAUAAAGUAUGAAUUGCUCUUAUUGCUUCAGAUUUCAGUAUUUUAGACAUUCUAGCUUAUGUGAGUCAUUUACAUUUAGCAUGCAUUGUUUCACAAAUUAUGAUGAUGAGAUGAUGUUUUACUUAUGCAUUUCACCCCCUUAUACUCAAUACAUCCUCA
RNAcentral lists this long non-coding RNA (1623 nucleotides) under Capsicum annuum. Its description in RNAcentral is "long non-coding RNA (CANN_LNC010633)". The record is from RNAcentral. Lineage: Eukaryota; Viridiplantae; Streptophyta; Magnoliopsida; Solanales; Solanaceae.